UACGGAGGAGGCAAGCGUUAUCCGGAAUUAUUGGGCGUAAAGCGUCCGUAGAUGGUUUUGUCAGUCUGCUGUCAAAGCACAGGGCUUAACCCUGUAAAGGCAGUGGAAACUACAAGACUAGAGUGCAGUAGGGGCAGAGGGAAUUCCCAGUGUAGCGGUGAAAUGCGUAGAGAUUGGGAAGAGCAUCCGUGGCGAAAGCGCUCUGCUGGACUGCAACUGACAUUGAGGGACGAAAGCUAGGGGAGCGAAUGGG
Molecule: ribosomal RNA, 253 nt
Filed under: uncultured bacterium
Lineage: Bacteria
Description: partial 16S ribosomal RNA
Rfam family: Bacterial small subunit ribosomal RNA
Source: RNAcentral